GCCGCCGGCCCGCGCUCCCGACCAGGCGGCACUUCCGGUCGGCCGUGGGUACCUCUCACAACAGCAGGAAAAUCCCUCCAAAGUAACACCACCAAAUAAAAAUCUUACAAAUCUUCCCAAGCCCACCAGCAGGACUGGCUUCCUCGCCGUGGCCAGUGGACCAAGGAUUGCCCGGGAGACCCGCUUGCCUGCUGCGGACUGAGGACUUGGAGGUGCUGUCGGUGGGCCAGGCUCACCCACCACGGACUGAGAACUCGCUCACUAAGGAUGGAGGACCAGCCCAAUAUGCCUAGCUCACCCAUCGCAGGCCACGAACUCGGCCACGACCACCGAGAGCGUGGGCAACUGUCGAGAGUGAGGUGGACCGUCGAAAGUACAGGGGGUCCAGCGCCGCCGAGAACAUAAGGGGGCUGUCAUUAACGAUCGUGGAACCCGGCAGAGAUUGACGGGGUGGCUGCUUGCUGCCACAUGUGGCGGGAGGCAUGGUUCGUCAUUGCGGGCAGAAGAUAACUCAUGUUUAUUU
Long non-coding RNA from Amblyraja radiata (thorny skate), 523 nucleotides. RefSeq lists it as uncharacterized. The record is from RefSeq and is a predicted model, not a curated record. The transcript has 3 exons. Lineage: Eukaryota; Metazoa; Chordata; Chondrichthyes; Rajiformes; Rajidae.